This 24-nucleotide microRNA is filed under the name Aegilops tauschii. Its description in RNAcentral is "ata-miR5084-5p". Lineage: Eukaryota; Viridiplantae; Streptophyta; Magnoliopsida; Poales; Poaceae. The record is from miRBase by way of RNAcentral.
AUCCUCUACAGUACUGUACGGUGC